UACAGAGGGUGCGAGCGUUAAUCGGAAUGACUGGGCGUAAAGGGCGCGUAGGUGGUUAUUUAAGUUAGAUGUGAAAUCCCUGGGCUUAACCUAGGAACUGCAUAUAAUACUGGAUGACUAGAGUACAGGAGAGGGCAGUGGAAUUUCCGGUGUAGCGGUGAAAUGCGUAGAUAUCGGAAGGAACACCAGUGGCGAAGGCG
RNAcentral lists this ribosomal RNA (200 nucleotides) under uncultured bacterium. Its description in RNAcentral is "partial 16S ribosomal RNA". It matches the Rfam family "Bacterial small subunit ribosomal RNA", at positions 524 to 723 of the family's 1533-position model. The record is from RNAcentral.